This 483-nucleotide ribosomal RNA is filed under the name uncultured marine group I thaumarchaeote. RNAcentral describes it as "bacterial SSU rRNA". It matches the Rfam family "Archaeal small subunit ribosomal RNA", at positions 439 to 921 of the family's 1478-position model. The record is from RNAcentral. Lineage: Archaea; Thermoproteati; Nitrososphaerota.
GGGGUGGGCAAGUUCUGGUGUCAGCCGCCGCGGUAAAACCAGCACCUCAAGUGGUCAGGAUGAUUAUUGGGCCUAAAGCAUCCGUAGCCGGCUCUGUAAGUUUUCGGUUAAAUCUGUACGCUUAACGUACAGGCUGCUGGGAAUACUGCAGAGCUAGGGAGUGGGAGAGGUAGACGGUACUCGGGAGGAAGUGGUAAAAUGCUUUGAUCUCUCGAUGACCACCUGUGGCGAAGGCGGUCUACCAGAACAUGUCCGACGGUGAGGGAUGAAAGCUGGGGGAGCAAACCGGAUUAGAUACCCGGGUAGUCCCAGCUGUAAACUAUGCAAACUCAGUGAUGCACUGGCUUGUGGCCAGUGCAGUGUUGCAGGGAAGCCGUUAAGUUUGCCGCCUGGGAAGUACGUACGCAAGUAUGAAACUUAAAGGAAUUGGCGGGGGAGCACCACAAGGGGUGAAGCCUGCGGUUCAAUUGGAUUCAACGCCGG